CGUACAGGUCUCCGUAGGUGAACCUGCGGAGGGAUCAUUACAAGAACGCCCGGGCUUCGGCCUGGUUAUUCAUAAACCUUUGUUGUCCGACUCUGUUGCCUCCGGGGCGACCCUGCCUUCGGGCGGGGGCUCCGGGUGGACACUUCAAACUCUUGCGUAACUUUGCAGUCUGAGUAAACUUAAUUAAUAAAUUAAAACUUUUAACAACGGAUCUCUUGGUUCUGGCAUCGAUGAAGAACGCAGCGAAAUGCGAUAAGUAAUGUGAAUUGCAGAAUUCAGUGAAUCAUCGAAUCUUUGAACGCACAUUGCGCCCCCUGGUAUUCCGGGGGGCAUGCCUGUUCGAGCGUCAUUUCACCACUCAAGCCUCGCUUGGUAUUGGGCAACGCGGUCCGCCGCGUGCCUCAAAUCGUCCGGCUGGGUCUUCUGUCCCCUAAGCGUUGUGGAAACUAUUCGCUAAAGGGUGUUCGGGAGGCUACGCCGUAAAACAACCCCAUUUCUAAGGUUGACCUCGGAUCAGGUAGGGAUACCCGCUGAACUUAAGCAUAUCA
Molecule: ribosomal RNA, 548 nt
Filed under: uncultured fungus
Lineage: Eukaryota; Fungi
Description: eukaryotic LSU rRNA
Rfam family: 5.8S ribosomal RNA (bases 196-349)
Source: RNAcentral